UAUGUUGGCAAACAAGAACUAUUUGCUGUUUCUUGAGAUACAAGUUUUUUAUAGAUGGCGUAUUUAGCCAUUGGAGUACCUAAAGCAUUUGAUGGUUCGAAAGAGCAGAAUGAUGAUUCGGUUAUACAUAAAAAGGGAGAAGUAUCGGGCAUCAAAUUUAUUACCCGAUAUGAAUGUUUUAUCUUCUUCAAUAUUUAUUUAAAAUUUCAAAGUCAGCAAUCAGGGAUAGUUCCAGAAGUUAAUAAUUAAGAGACUAUUCAGGAUUUGAAGCAACGCAAUUUUGAUGCCACUUCUUCUUAAAGUGCAGAUUCCUGCGUUCUGUAAUAUUUGGAAGUCCACUGACGGAUAUUUCUUAGCCACGAAAAUUUUUUUCUAGCUAUUCCUCUUUUUCCUCCCUCAAUUUUUAACUGGAGAAUGAGGCGUUGGAAAUGGUAUCUUUCAAGACACCUUCAACAGUCGCCGCAAGAUUUAUAUUUCAAAGACUACAAUUUUAUUGAUGUUUGAUAUUUUCAGCGUUCAUGUCUCAACCCCAUAUAGGAAAACGGACAAGACGUAGCACUUUACCAUCCUAUAUCUGAGGCUGAAAAAGGUUCUUGUCCGUGAGAAAUUUUCAAAGUCUUAGAAAAGUUGUUGUAGCUUGUUGAAAUUCCAAUCCUCAUUGACCAUCCAUACCAAGUAUCUUAAUUGUUUGUCCUGUUCGAUGAUCUCUCCAUCAAUAUCUAUUCAAGUGUAUGGAGUAUCAUUCCUACUAACCACCAUAAGUUUGGUGCUGCUGAUGUUAAUUUUCAAACCUCGUCUUUGGCUAUCAUAUAGUAGCUAUAUUAUUAAUGCUAUCAUGUAGAUGUUUUGUGCUUUGACACUCUUUUGUAGAUAUUUUCUCCAUACUAUUCUCUCCUUAUUCUUGCUCCUCUGUUUCUGGAAAGUUACCUCCAGCAUUUCUUGAUACUUGCAACUGCAGACAAAAACAAUAUUUAGUGUGCAAUCGUAAAGUUGUUGUGAUUUUAGGUCAUAUUGAACAAAGUUGGGAAUUUGAAUCAUAAGAAUACUAUGAAUGGCAUUGUUGGAGCAGUACAAGAAGAAAUUGAGAACGCUGUGCCAAAUAACAACAAACGUGUUUCUGACUCUUUCUCCUAAUAAUAACAUUUUUAACUUAUCUCGCUCCUAUUCAAAUUUUUUAUUAAUUAAUAAUGGGAGAAAACUACAGGAUGAAAGAGGAGCUGUUGAAGAUAAAUGAAGCUUAUGAUAAUAUUUGUUAUAACAUAGUAAAAAAAUAGAUGAUUUUAAUUAAA
Non-coding RNA from Onthophagus taurus, 1289 nucleotides. The record is from RefSeq and is a predicted model, not a curated record. Lineage: Eukaryota; Metazoa; Arthropoda; Insecta; Coleoptera; Scarabaeidae.